Tulasnella sp. 332 is the source of this 95-nucleotide non-coding RNA. The record is from the annotation of a GenBank genome assembly. NCBI's taxonomy places the organism in Eukaryota, Fungi, Basidiomycota, Agaricomycetes, Cantharellales, Tulasnellaceae.
UCCUCAGUAGUCCAACGGCUAGGAUACCUCGCUUUCACGAGCACAACACGCUUCACAGCGCCGAGGCGGUCGGGGUUCGAUUCCCCGCUGGGGAA